AUACGGAGGGUGCAAGCGUUACUCGGAAUCACUGGGCGUAAAGCGCGCGCAGGCGGCUAUUUAAGUUGGAUGUGAAAGCCUACGGCUCAACCGUAGAACUGCAUCCAAAACUAUUUAGCUAGAGUGUGGGAGAGGAAGAUGGAAUUAGUUGUGUAGGGGGAAAAUCCGUAGAGAUAACUAGGAAUACCAAAAGCGAAGGCAAUCUUCUGGAACACUACUGACGCUGAGGCGCGAAAGCGUGGGGAGCAAACGGGAUUAGAAACCCUAGUAGUCC
Molecule: ribosomal RNA, 274 nt
Filed under: uncultured bacterium
Lineage: Bacteria
Description: partial 16S ribosomal RNA
Rfam family: Bacterial small subunit ribosomal RNA
Source: RNAcentral